GACGAACGCUGGCGGCGUGCUUAACACAUGCAAGUCGAACGGAAAGGCCCUGCUUUUGUGGGGUGCUCGAGUGGCGAACGGGUGAGUUACACGUGAGUAACCUGCCCUUGACUUUGGGAUAACUUCAGGAAACUGGGGCUAAUACCGGAUAGGAGCUCUUGCUGCAUGGUGGGGGUUGGAAAGUUUCGGCGGUUGGGGAUGGACUCGCGGCUUAUCAGCUUGUUGGUGGGGUAGUGGCUUACCAAGGCUUUGACGGGUAGCCGGCCUGAGAGGGUGACCGGCCACAUUGGGACUGAGAUACGGCCCAGACUCCUACGGGAGGCAGCAGUGGGGAAUAUUGCACAAUGGGCGGAAGCCUGAUGCAGCAACGCCGCGUGCGGGAUGACGGCCUUCGGGUUGUAAACCGCUUUCGCCUGUGACGAAGCGUGAGUGACGGUAAUGGGUAAAGAAGCACCGGCUAACUACGUG
This 468-nucleotide ribosomal RNA is filed under the name uncultured bacterium. RNAcentral describes it as "partial 16S ribosomal RNA". It matches the Rfam family "Bacterial small subunit ribosomal RNA", at positions 28 to 507 of the family's 1533-position model. The record is from RNAcentral.